GGGGAAUCUUGCGCAAUGGGCGAAAGCCUGACGCAGCCAUGCCGCGUGGAUGAUGAAGGUCUUAGGAUUGUAAAAUCCUUUCAGCGGGGACGAUAAUGACGGUACCCGCAGAAGAAGCCCCGGCUAGCUUCGUGCCAGCAGCCGCGGUAAUACGAAGGGGGCUAGCGUUGCUCGGAUUUACUGGGCGUAAAGGGCGCGUAGGCGGACAGUUAAGUUGGGGGUGAAAGCCCGGGGCACAACCUCGGAAUUGCCUUCAAUACUGGCUGUCUUGAGUGUGAGAGAGGUGUGUGGAACUCCGAGUGUAGAGGUGAAAUUCGUAGAUAUUCGGAAGAACACCAGUGGCGAAGGCGACACACUGGCUCACUACUGACGCUGAGGCGCGAAAGCGUGGGGAGCAAAC
Molecule: ribosomal RNA, 400 nt
Filed under: uncultured bacterium
Lineage: Bacteria
Description: bacterial SSU rRNA
Rfam family: Bacterial small subunit ribosomal RNA
Source: RNAcentral